GCUGGGAACUCUGGGGAGACUGCCGGUGAUAAACCGGAGGAAGGCGGGAUGACGUCAAGUCCUCAUGGCCCUUACAUCCCGGGCUACACACGUGCUACAAUGGCAGGUACAGAGGGCUGCGAAGCCGCGAGGUGGAGCGAAUCCCAGAAAACCUGUCUCAGUCCCGGAUUGAAGUCUGCAACUCGACUUCAUGAAGGCGGAAUCGCUAGUAACCGCGAAUCAGCAGGUCGCGGUGAAUACGUUCCCGGGCCUU
Molecule: ribosomal RNA, 253 nt
Filed under: uncultured Latescibacterota bacterium
Lineage: Bacteria; Pseudomonadati; Candidatus Latescibacterota
Description: uncultured Latescibacteria bacterium partial 16S ribosomal RNA
Rfam family: Bacterial small subunit ribosomal RNA
Source: RNAcentral